CAAUUCUCCUGCCUCAGCCUCCUGAGUAGCUGGGACUAUAGCAGGAUGGGCUGCAGGCAAAACUCCUCAGACACCGGCUGAAAGAGGGAAGAGGCUUUAUUUAGCUGGGAACCUUGGCAGACUUGCAUCUCAAGAACCAAGCUCCCUGAAGAAAAAAUUCCUGGCCUUUUUGAGAGGUGAAGCGAGCUGGACUUCCUGGGUUGAGUGGGGACUUGCAGAACUUUUCUGUCUAGCUAGAGGAUUGCAAACGCACCAGUCAGCACUCUGUGUCUAGCUAAAGGAUUGUAAACACACCAAUCAGCACUGUGUAAAAAUGCACCAGUCAGCGCUCUGUGUCUAGCUAAAGGACUGUAGACGCACCAAUCAGCACUCUGUAAAAAUGCACCAAUCAGCACUCUGUGUCUAGCUAAAGGAUUGUAAACGCACCAAUCAGCACUCUAUAAAAGCGCACCAAUCAGCGCACUGUGUCUAGCUAAAGGAUUGUAAACGCACCAAUCAGCAUUCUGUGUCUAGCUAAAGGAUUGUAAACGCACCAAUCAGCACUCUGUAAAAAUGCACCAAUCAGCACUUGGCAUCUAGCUAAAGGAUUGUAAGUGCACCAAUCAACACUCCGCAAAAACACACCAAUCAUCACUCUGUGUCUAACUAAGGGAUUAAAUGCACCAAUCAGAACUCUGUAAAAAUGCACCAGUCAGCACUCUGUAAAAUGGACCAAUCAGCACUCUGUAAAAUGGACCAAUCAGCAGGACAUGGGUGGGGACAAAUAAGGGAAUAAAAGCUGGCCACCCCCCAGCCAGCAGCGGCAACCUGCUCAGGUCCCUUUCCACUCUGUGGAAGCUUUGUUCUUUCGCUUUUCACAGUAAAUCUUGCUGCUGCUGACUCUUUGGGUCCACACCACCUUUAAAAGUUGUAACACUCGCUGUGAAGGUCCGCAGCUUCAUUCUCGAAGUCAGUGAGACCAAGAAUCCACCAGAGGGAACCAAGUCUGGACACACUUUUAAGGGCUUACAACUCUAUGGGGGUCUACGUGAAAGAUAUCCAGCAAGUGAUCUAUAGCUUUUACUUCCUCCUUCUCUUCAGGGACAGGAAACAGUAAGAGAAAUGGCGUAUCUCCUCAGCUUAAGAUAGUACU
RNAcentral lists this long non-coding RNA (1132 nucleotides) under Homo sapiens (human). RNAcentral describes it as "HSALNT0323973". Lineage: Eukaryota; Metazoa; Chordata; Mammalia; Primates; Hominidae. The record is from RNAcentral.